Molecule: ribosomal RNA, 379 nt
Filed under: uncultured eukaryote
Lineage: Eukaryota
Description: SSU rRNA
Rfam family: Eukaryotic small subunit ribosomal RNA
Source: RNAcentral
AGCUCCAAUAGCGUAUAUUAAAAUUGUUGCGGUUAAAACGCUCGUAGUUGGAUAUCUGCCGAGGGGUUUCGGUGCUUCCCAGUGAAGAAUACGCGGAACUCUUCUUGGCAUUUGUUCAGGGAAGGUGGUUGCACUUAAUUGUGUGUCACAUGAACUGAAUUUUUACUUUGAGGAAAUGAGAGUGUUUCAAGCAGGCAUUUGCCGUGAAUAUGAUAGCAUGGAAUAAUAGCAUGGGACCCCGUUCCAGAGCUGUUGGUUUUUGGUACGAGGUAACGAUAAUAAGGAUAGUUGGGGGCAUUCGUAUUUAACUGUCAGAGGUGAAAUUCUUGGAUUUUUUAAAGACGAACUAUUGCGAAGGCAUCUGCCAAGGAUGUUUUUA